GACGGAACGCUCCAAACUUCCCAUAUAACUCUAAACAUUUUCACGAAUCACGAUAAUUAUGCUUAUUCAAUAAGAACUUAAGAGCAGACUUUGAAAAAGACUUUGAAGAAUUUUGUAGAUUGAACGAACGAAACACCGAAAAUAAGAAUCCUCGAUGACAUCGUGACCUCAAUACGUGAAAAAAAUGAGUUCGAAAGUUGCCAAAUUAGAUCUUUGGAAAACGGUGUAAAUAUUUAUGAUCUUGAUACGAUUUUUUAUCGAAUUAUUCGCUAAGUUGAUGCAUAUUUAUUGAUAAACGGAUUGUGGCUGCUGAUGGAGAACACUUUUCAUGUGCCAUCGAUUCAAUGCUUCUCGAGAGGAAAAAUAAGAAUUCGAGAAUACCAGAUUCGCGCGAAGGAGAAUCGACCUUCAAAUGAAAAUCAUCGUUUAUCGAUUGUUUCGGUGCGAGGACAUUUUUCAAAACUGUUGCUCCGUCAUGAGACUAUAAAACUUUUCAAAAAUAUUUCGUGUGAACAAAGUGUCGACGUCCCGGUAUUGAACGAGUGUCAAAUAAGUUUGAUCUGUUUUGCGAUAUUGUCUUCAUCGAUCCUCAGCUUACGAUUUGAAGAAAUCCUCUUUGCGACCUCUCGCGACCUCCUUAAAGAUCUCGCAUUACGCAUCUUGCUUUUCAUGCAAAACACUCUCGUCUUCUCUGAUUGUGGCUGAGACACCGAAAAAUUCGUACAUGAACGUCGUCGGAAGUUUCAAUGUCGAUGGCAUUGAUCCAGAUUGGACGUGCUCGUUGAGCAAUAAGAUUUUCUUUGGCAUCCGUCUUUGCCAGCAGACGGUCCAUCGAGUAUUUCGAUCAACAUAAAUCAUCGAUGUAUUUGCAAAAGAAAAGAUAGAUAAGAAACAGACUUUCUCGAUCCUCGAAAAACCUCGAUCAACGACGAUACAAUAGAGAAUUAACAAAUGACGAUUCAACUUUAUAACAAAACCAUUUUCACUGUCAUUGCUCACGCUACUCUUCGCGUGCGUGUCAAAUAAACUUUACAUAGUAAUUCGUUUUCUUUCCCGCGAUUCCCGUACACCCAACAAUUUCUUUUAUUUUAAUACACAAAAAAUAAUGUUAUUAUUCCAAUUUCUUUCCUUGCUCUUCGCUUCGUUUCGUCCCACCUCGCUCCGGCAUUUAUUCCCACGAAAAUGUCAACCGAAAAUUCCGAUUCAACAAUUUUUUGUACAUAAUUAUGUAUGAAUGAAGAUUUCAUGAAAAAUAA
Venturia canescens is the source of this 1256-nucleotide long non-coding RNA. RefSeq lists it as uncharacterized. The transcript has 2 exons. The record is from RefSeq and is a predicted model, not a curated record. Lineage: Eukaryota; Metazoa; Arthropoda; Insecta; Hymenoptera; Ichneumonidae.